Molecule: RNA transcript, 884 nt
Organism: Nomascus leucogenys (northern white-cheeked gibbon)
Lineage: Eukaryota; Metazoa; Chordata; Mammalia; Primates; Hylobatidae
Gene name: ubiquitin-conjugating enzyme E2 D3 pseudogene
Exons: 1
Source: RefSeq, a predicted model, not a curated record
CAGGUUCUUUAAUUUCCAUGUAAUGGUGUGGUUUUGAGUGAGUUUCUUAAUCGUGAGUUCUAAUUUGGUUGCAAUGUGAUCUGUGAGACUGUUGUGAUUUCAGUUAUUUUGUAUUUGCUGAAGAGUGUUGGCAUGGGGAGGAGGCUGAGGCCGCAGCUUGAGGGAGGCCCUGGCCCCUCUGCACCUGUGUCUGGCAGAGCUGGUGUGAGACGAGACAAUCCUGCACCACCACUGGGAUAGUUAAGAGUUUUGGCCGGACCUUUGAGCAUACACUGAGAGAGUGAGGAGCCAGAUGACAAGCACACACUAUGGCGCUGAAACGGAUUAAUAAGGAACUUAGUGAUUUGGCCUGUGACCCUCCAGCACAAGGUUCUGCAGGUCCAGUUGGGGAUGAUAUGUUUCAUUGCAAGCCACAAAUAUGGGACCUAAUGACAGCCCAUAUCAAGGCAGUGUAUUCUUUUUGACAAUUCAUUUUCCUAAAGACUACCCCUUCAAACCACCUAAGGUUGCAUUUACAACAAGAAUUUAUCAUCCAAAUAUUAACAGUAAUGGCAGCAUUUGUCUUGAUAUUCUAAGAUCACAGUGGUCGCCUGCUUUAACAAUUUCUAAAGUUCUUUUAUCCAUUUGUUCACUGCUAUGUGAUCCAAACCCAGAUGACCCCCUAGUGCCAGAGAUUGCAUGGAUCUAUAAAACAGACAGAGAUAAGUACAACAGAAUAUCUCAGGAAUGGACUCAGAAGUAUGCCAUGUGAUGCUACCUUAAAGUCAGAAUAGCCUGCAUUAUAGCUGGAAUAAACUUUAAAUUACUGUUCCUUUUCUGAUUUUCUUAUCCGGCUGCUCCCCUAUCAGACCUCAUCUUUUUCAAUUUUAUUUUUUGUUUACCUC